This 425-nucleotide ribosomal RNA is filed under the name uncultured bacterium. Its description in RNAcentral is "bacterial SSU rRNA". It matches the Rfam family "Bacterial small subunit ribosomal RNA", at positions 354 to 796 of the family's 1533-position model. The record is from RNAcentral.
GUGGGGAAUAUUGGACAAUGGGCGCAAGCCUGAUCCAGCCAUGCCGCGUGAGUGAUGAAGGCCCUAGGGUUGUAAAGCUCUUUUGCUCGGGAAGAUAAUGACGGUACCGAGAGAAUAAGCCCCGGCUAACUUCGUGCCAGCAGCCGCGGUAAUACGAAGGGGGCUAGCGUUGUUCGGAAUCACUGGGCGUAAAGCGCACGUAGGCGGACUUUUAAGUCAGAGGUGAAAUCCUGAGGCUCAACCUCAGAACUGCCUUUGAUACUGGGAGUCUCGAGUUCGGGAGAGGUGAGUGGAACUGCGAGUGUAGAGGUGAAAUUCGUAGAUAUUCGCAAGAACACCAGUGGCGAAGGCGGCUCACUGGCCCGAUACUGACGCUGAGGUGCGAAAGCGUGGGGAGCAAACAGGAUUAGAAACCCGAGUAGUCC